AGCCCGCUCAGAAACUUAAAGGAAUUGACGGGGCCCGGCACAAGCGGUGGAGUAUGUGGUUUAAUUCGAUGCAACGCGAAGAACCUUACCUGGUCUUGACAUCCCGGAGACCCUUAGGAAACUAGGGGGUGCUUCCAUCUGGAAGAAUCUGGAGACAGGUGCUGCAUGGCUGUCGUCAGCUCGUGUCGUGAGAUGUUGGGUUAAGUCCCGCAACGAGCGCAACCCUUGCCUUUAGUUGCCAGCAGUUCGGCUGGGCACUCUAGAGGGACUGCCGGUGUUAAACCGGAGGAAGGUGGGGAUGACGUCAAGUCCUCAUGGCCUUUAUGACCAGGGCUACACACGUACUACAAUGGCCGAUACAAAGGGCAGCGACACUGCGAGGUGAAGCCAAUCCCGUAAAAUCGGUCUCAGUCCGGAUUGGAGUCUGCAACUCGACUUCAUGAAGCUGGAAUCGCUAGUAAUCGCAGAUCAGCCAAGCUGCGGUGAAUACGUUCCCGGGCCUU
This 503-nucleotide ribosomal RNA is filed under the name uncultured Desulfobulbus sp. RNAcentral's name for it is "bacterial SSU rRNA". It matches the Rfam family "Bacterial small subunit ribosomal RNA", at positions 886 to 1382 of the family's 1533-position model. The record is from RNAcentral. Lineage: Bacteria; Pseudomonadati; Thermodesulfobacteriota; Desulfobulbia; Desulfobulbales; Desulfobulbaceae.